UACGUAGGGACCAAGCGUUGUUCGGAUUUACUGGGCGUAAAGGGCGCGUAGGCGGCAAUUCAAGUCAUCUGUGAAAUCUCCGGGCUUAAUCGUCGGAACGGUCAGAUGAUACUGCUUUGCUAGAGUGCGGAAGGGGCAAUCGGAAUUCUCGGUGUAGCGGUGAAAUGCGUAGAUAUCGAGAGGAACACCAGAGGUGAAGACGGGUUGCUGGGCCGACACUGACGCUGAGGCGCGAAAGCCAGGGGAGCAAACGGG
RNAcentral lists this ribosomal RNA (255 nucleotides) under uncultured bacterium. RNAcentral's name for it is "partial 16S ribosomal RNA". It matches the Rfam family "Bacterial small subunit ribosomal RNA", at positions 524 to 776 of the family's 1533-position model. The record is from RNAcentral.